Podarcis lilfordi (Lilford's wall lizard) is the source of this 67-nucleotide non-coding RNA. Lineage: Eukaryota; Metazoa; Chordata; Lepidosauria; Squamata; Lacertidae. The record is from the annotation of a GenBank genome assembly.
UCUGGGAUAGCUCAGUUGGCAGAGCAUGAGAAUCUCAGGGCCCUGGGUUCAAGCCCCAUGUUGAGAA